RNAcentral lists this ribosomal RNA (497 nucleotides) under uncultured bacterium. RNAcentral's name for it is "partial 16S ribosomal RNA". It matches the Rfam family "Bacterial small subunit ribosomal RNA", at positions 28 to 507 of the family's 1533-position model. The record is from RNAcentral.
GAUGAACGCUGGCGGUGUGCCUAACACAUGCAAGUCGAGCGAACGGACGAGAAGCGCGCUCUCUUGAUGUUAGCGGCGGACGGGUGAGUAACACGUGCAUAAGCUACUUCUAAUACUGGGAUAAUAUCGGGAAACCGGUGCCAAUACUGGCGCAUAUUUUGAACCGCAUGGAUCAAAAGUGAAUGACGGUCUUGCCGACACAUAUAGAUGGAUCCGGGUUGCAUUAGCUAGUUGGUAAGGUAACGGCAUACCAAGGCAACGAUGCAUAGCUGACCUGAGAGGAUGAUCAGCCACACUGGAACUGAGACACGGUCCAGACUCCUACGGGAGGCAGCAGUGGGGAAUCUUCCACAAUGGGCGAAAGCCUGACCGAGCAACACCGCGUGGGUGAUGAAGGUCUUCGGGUUGUAAAGCUCUGUUAUUGGGAAAGAACAGAUGUAUGUGUAUCUGUGGCCGUCUUGACGGUACCUAAUCAAUAAGCCCCGGCUAACUUCGUG